GGCAAUGUCGCUUCUCCUUAACAAUCCGGAAACAAUGCAAAAGGCUUCUGAAGAGAUAGAUGCUAUUGUUGGAACAGAGCACAUAUUGGAUGAAGUAGAUGUAACAAAGCUCAGUUACCUGCAAAACAUACUUAACGAGACAUUUAGGCUCUUUCCACCUGCGCCGCUUCUUUUACCACAUGAAUCUUCCGAGGACUGCACUAUUAGUGGAUUUCAUGUGCCCCGAGGCACAAUGUUACUGGUCAAUACUUGGAGCAUUCAUAGAGAUACCAAGCUGUGGGUGGAGCCAACAAAAUUCAUGCCAGAGAGAUUUGAAGGUGGAGAAGGUGAAGGGUAUAAACUGCUUCCAUUGCGUAAUGUAGACCUCGCCAAUCCAUGGUCAACCUCCUCUCUUCUAUGUGAAGCAUAUGGAUGAUUUUCCUCAAGUAUGCUCUCUUUGUUUGCUCUGAGACAUUCUAUAACUAAGAGAAUACUUUUUUCAUUGCAUCCACAAUAAUAUUCUGCUUUUGUGUGGGCACCUUAUGGUGAUCUUUGGCGAAAGCUACGACGUCUUGCUGUUGCUGAAAUAUUCUCUUCAGAGAGUCUACGAAAGUCCUCUACGGUACGUGAGGAAGAAGUUAGUUGCCUCAUUCGCAGACUGUUGAAGGUCUCAACCAGUGGAACACAGAACGUGGAGCUGAGGCUUUUGUUCUCUAUUCUGGCUUCCAAUGUUGUCAUGAGAGUGUCUGCUGGAAAACGUUGUGUUGAAGAGGAACAUGCUGGCACAAAGAUGGAGAAGCAACUAUUUCAAGAUUUUAAGAAUAAGUUCUUUCCUAGCCUGGCCAUGAAUAUCUGUGAUUUUAUCCCAAUUUUGAGGGUGAUUGGUUUUAAAGGGCUGGAGAAGAAUAUGAAAAGGUUGCAUGGAAUUAGAGAUGAUUUUUUGCAAAAUUUGAUUGAUGAAAUUCGAUUAAAAUUAAAGAGAACCACUUCUUUGAAAGCUGAUGAAGUAACAGAUGGAGAAGAGAGAAGGUCGGUGGCUGAAAUUCUCUUGUGUCUGCAAGAAUCAGAACCUGAAUUUUACACGGACGAAGUUAUCAAAAGUACAGUGCUGGUACGUAGUAGCAUGCACCAAGUUUUCUCUGUUAUAUUACAUCUUUAGUAAUCUGAACUAUUAGAGGCUGAAAAUGUCGAAACUUACUGUACAAUCCGUAAUCGGCAAACCCUUUUCUACAUGUUCUUAGUGUUUGAUUCUGCAAAACCAAUUCGUUUCGUCAUUCGUAUUAGUACACUGCUUCCAAGUUUUGGCUGGUAGAAGCUAUUUUUGGAAAAGAACAUAGCUUCGGCAGCCCAGUUUCAUUUCCCAACUUUGGUUCCGGAGGAGAAGAGAAAAGAGUGAAAACUUCUCUGUGUUCUUGUCUGAGCUUUAUGCCACUAUUCUUUAGAUUCUUAACCCGCCCAGUGAAGAUUUACUUGGUUUUUUGUGAAAACUUGUUGAUAUAACAAAAUGAGUACAUAAAUAAUGAACUCUAACCAUAGUUAUAAGAUCCAGUUUAAGGUCUAGAUCGAGAAUUAGUUGGGUCAAUCCACAGGAUAUACGUACCAAGAAUGACAUAAUAUUUGCUGACAAACCCCAAAACUUGUCUGGGGAUCACUUUACUUACAGUUAUAGUGCGUUUGUGCCCAAAAAUGUCUUAAGCUCUAAAGGAAUGGGAAUACCGUGUUUCACCCUUGAAAGUUCACCUUUGUUUCUAUGCUAAAUUUCCAAUAUUCACACAAUGAAGUAUUGUCAAAUUAAACACUAGGAGUAUGAACAAGAUUUUCAUCCUAACAAUGCUAAAGCAGCGUGUAUCAGAUGAUGUUUGUUGCUGGAACAGAAACAUCAGCAAUUACUUUGGAAUGGGCAUUGACACUCCUCUUGAAUCAUCCAAAAGUAAUGCAGAAGGUGAAAGCUGAGAUUGAUGAACAUGUUGGACAUGGGCGUUUGCUUAACGAGUCGGAUAUUGUCAAGCUUCCCUACCUCAGUUGUGUCAUAAACGAGACUCUUAGAUUAUAUCCUCCAGCUCCCCUUUUGCUGCCUCAUUUUUCGUCUGAGGCUUGCAAUGCGGGGGGAUUUGAUAUACCGCAAGGCACAAUGCUGGUGGUAAAUGCUUGGACCAUGCAUAGAGAUCCCAAACUUUGGGAGGAGCCCAAUGAAUUCAAGCCUGAAAGAUUUGAAGCAGGUUUAGGAGAGGGAGAUGGUUUCAAAUACAUUCCAUUUGGAAUAGGGAGGAGAGUUUGUCCAGGUGCUAGCAUGGGUUUGCAGAUAGUUUCUUUAGCCUUGGGUGUCCUCGUCCAGUGCUUCGAGUGGGAUAAGGUUGGAACAGUGGAAGACCCGAGCCAUGGUCUUGGCAUGAUUUUGUCUAAAGCUAAGCCUCUGGAAGCACUGUGUAGUCCACGCCGUGAUUUGAUUACCCUCCUCUCCCAUCUUUAAAUGGGUUUGAAAGCUAUCUUCUCGUCUAGCUUAAGGCUUCAAGGUCAAGUGAAGGGCCUUUCCCCCACCUUCAGAAGGAGAUCUUACAUGGACGCCCGCUGAUGGCAUUCCUUCUAAAUGUUUUACAUCUUAAAAAUGUGUUGAUAGAAUGUGUGAUCUGUUCUACCUAUGAAUUUACAUUAUACUGCUGUUAUUAGUUUGUGUUUAGCAUGAUGAAAGCUGUUAAAUUACCUUUUGUUUUGAAAUAUAUUAAAAUUAUAUUAUUUUUAAUUUUUAGUUUUUUUAAUAUUAAUAUAUUAAAACCAUUCAAAAACAUAAAAUAUUUAUUUUAAAUAAAAAAUUUAUUUUUUCAGCGCAACUUACUAUUUGCCAAACACUACCUUUAUCUUAUAAUAGCUUUUGCAAUUAUUAUUUUAAAAAAUAAAUUUUAAAAAAUAUAUAUAAAUUAUAGUUUUUCCAGGUUUUUACCACGAUUCAAGAAAAAAAGAAGAAAAAAGAAGCAAUGCUAAAUGGAGUGUAAUCUGUUAUCUAAGCUGUUUAGAGGUAAUUACUAUUUUCUGCAACCUAAUUACAUGAAAUGGGCCUAUACUGGUCCUGGGCCUGGGCCUGUGUUUCAUUUGGAAUGGUUGCAGUUAUUCCAUUGCAAUGUUUUGGGCUGGUCAAAGCGUUAAUAAAGGGUUGAUCCUGGGCUUAAAAACAAGUGCCAUUUUAUUUCAAAUAACUUAAAUAAGUGCUUUAUCUACAAAUAGGCUUCAGCCCCAAUAAAAAUAGUUCAGUGUCCCGUGUUAGUUUUACCACGUGUUAAAUGCCAACUGGCUCUAUACCUCAAGCAAAAGACCAUGUUAGUUUUACCACGUGUUAAAUGCCAAUUUGACUUUUGUUUUUUUAAUAAUAGCAAAAACUUGACCAAUUGAGUCCCAAGCCAAUAUAUAAACAUCAACCAACUUUAGUCAUAGAUUUAAUAAAUUGAUAAGAGAAAUAUGAAUUUUGGAAUAAAUUAUUUAGUUAAAUUGAAUAAUAUAUCGAGUUGAUAAAAUCUAAUGGACUCAACUAUUUAAAGGGAAUUUUUAUUUGUGUUUAAGUGUGUUAAGAAGAAAAUGUUAAAUUCAUAUAUAUAUUUUUUUAAUAGUUUUAAUAUAUCAAUAUCAAAAAUAAAAAAAAAUUAUUUUAAUAUAUUUUUAAAUAAAAAUUACUUUUAAAAAAUACCAAGCACAUAUUAAUAUAAUAAAACUUGAUUGAAACUUGACGGAGUAAACAUCAAUUUUUUUCUAAAAUAAAGAAUAAAGCUAUGCUAUUUUAAUAAAAUAAUUGACUAAAGUUGGCUAAGUGAUUCAUUAAUUGUUUUAAUAAUUUUUUUAACCAGAUAAGAAUAAGAGUAAGAUAACUGGACUAGCCACUCUUUCAUGCUUCUCUUGGAAAACAUGCUGUCGUACUACUGCCUUGCUUUCUUCUUCCUAAUUUUUCUUGUAAUCAAAUAUGUAUUCCAUGGUAACAAAAACUUGCCACCAAGUCCUCCUUCUCUUCCAAUAAUAGGCCAUCUCCUCCUUCUCAAGCCACCACUACACCAAACGCUACAGACUUUAUUGCAGCAAUAUGGCCCAGUUCUUUCCCUUAAAGCAGGCUGCAGGUCUAUGCUUGUUCUUAGUUCUCCAUCAGCUGUUGAAGAAUGUUUCACAAAGAACGACGUGGUCCUUUCCAACAGGCCUACUUUCUUAGCCGGAGAUCAUUUAACUUACAACUAUACCACUAUUAUCUUCUCUCCAUAUGGCCAUCUUUGGCGUACCCUCAGGCGCUUCGCCGUCCUUGAAAUGUUCUCUCAGAAAGGCCUCAAUAAGUUCUCUGCAGUCCGCAAAGAAGAAGUUUGCUCCCUUCUCCGCCAAUUGUCUAAAGUCUCCUGUAGUGGCAACAAAAAGGUGGAUUUGCAUUAUUUCUUCUCACUCCUCAGUUUCAAUGUCGCUAUGAGGAUGUCUGCUGGUAAGAAAUGUAUUGAAGAGGAGGUUGCCUGCUCGGAUUUGGGCAAGCAGGAUCUUACGGAACUCAAAAAGAUAUUCCAUCCACCUUUAUCCACGGGUUUGUGUGAUUUCUUUCCUGCUUUGAAAUGGAUCAAUUACAAAGGGUUUGAGAAGAGUGUUAUCAAGGUGCGUGAUGGGAGGGAUGGAUUUUCGCAAGACUUGAUAGAUGAGAUUCGACAAAAGAAAACCAGUUCAUGUUCAAGUCCUGAUGCAGGACCGGAGAAGACAACCAUGAUCGAAACUUUAUUGUCUCUCCAAGAACAAGAACCUGAUUUCUAUACAGAUGAUAUCAUCAAGGGUCUCGUAGUGGUAAGCAGUUUUUGCAGGCAGAUUUAGAUUGAUUGUCUUUCCAUCUGUUUCUGAAUUUUGGUUUGCAGUUGACAAAAUUAUUUGCUGUUUAUCGUUGGCCAUUAAGAAUAGCAUGGAGAAAUUUAUUUUGAUUAUUUCGUUUCUCCCUUAUUUUUUCAACUGCCAACUGACUAAUGUCGCAGAAAAAUUACCUUGACAGAUGCUUCAUGCUUGUGAUAUUACUUGCCUGUAAGAGAGCUGACGAGCUGUUCUUGCUGGCUUGCUGUAUUCUCUUUCUGCACUUUUCUUUUCCCCCGGCUCCAACAAUUUGUCUGUCUUCGUUUGGCUUUAUUAUGUGCUCUUUGUAGUUAAUCUAGACGGGCCAUGUGACAGGUUAAAUCUAGUUAAUUCGAUCAAGUUUUUGAUUGAUCCAGUUACAUUCAAUCGAAACCUAGUCGGGUUAAUUAAAAAGAAACAAUGAUUUUUUAACUAAAUAAUUAAUCUGGGAUUGACCUGAUAACCUAUUAAUCCAUGCUCUUUUUUUAGCUAGUUCUUUACCUUUGAGAAAAACCGAACUACUGAUUAUAUUAUAAUAGAAAUGUUAUUAUCAAUAUCUUAAAAAAAUCCUAAUGAAAAAUGGAUGGCGCAUGCUAAUUGCAGUAUAACAAUUCUGCCGUUCACUUUCUCAAUUCAUGCAUCUCCCCUUGUCUGAUUCUGGCUCGUUUUCUUUUUUGCCCCCACGUAACACGAACGUGGCUAUAUAUGUGUUUCCCAGCUGAUCACAGUACAUCUAUCAAGUUCUUAAAAUAUGGACAAGGACGAUGAAUUGAUAGAUUAGUUCACAUUUUUUAUUCAAUUAUUAUGGAGUAUUCUGCAGUGUAAAUGGAUGUGUAUGUUACUAAUGCUUCUGUUCAAAAGUAUAUAUUAGCAUUUUUCGUUGGCUGACUUGAAUUUCUUCUUGUUCUACAGGCAAUGUUUUCUGCAGGGACAGAUACAGUAGCUGUUACCAUGGAAUGGGCAAUGUCACUUCUGCUGAAUCAUCCAGAGAUAUUGCAGAAGGUAAGAGAAGAGAUUGAUAGUCAAGUUGGGCAUACGCGCUUGGUAGAGGAGGUGGAUCUUCCUAAGCUAAAAUAUCUCCGUUGCGUUAUCAAUGAGACGCUUCGGCUGUAUCCUGUUGUGCCACUCUUACUCCCACGUUGUCCAUCUGAAGACUGUACCGUGGCAGGAUACAAGGUUCCAAAAGGCACAAUCCUACUGGUGAAUGCUUUCGCCAUGCACAGGGAUCCCAAGAUGUGGGAACAACCUGACAGGUUCAAGCCAGAGAGAUUUGAAGCGACCGAGGAGGAAAAGGAAGGCAUCAAGUUUAUUCCAUUUGGUAUGGGAAGGAGGGCUUGCCCAGGAUCUAACAUGGGUAUGCGCGCAAUCAUGUUGGCAAUGGCUGCACUUUUUCAGUGCUUUGAGUGGGAGAGGACUGGACAGGAGAUGGUUGAUAUGACAGUAGCAGCAGCAAUUUCUAUGGUUAAGGCUAAGCCUUUGGAGGCUUUUUGUAAACCAUAUCAUUCCAUGGCUAACCUAUUCUCCCAGCUCUAGUGCGAAGGUAUGAUCGGGCUUCUGGUCCUUCUAUGUAGCUUUUUUCUAUGGUUGGACCGCUUCAAUCUUCAUGCUCAUUAUGGAACGAUUAAUAUGUAAAUUAUUGCUUGAUUUGUGUGAUUGAGCUGUAAGGAAAACGUGUUGUUGCCUUUGAAAUAAAUAAUGUUUAGAUACAUGUUACAUGCUGCCAACAUUAAUUCCCUUAAUGAUGAGUCACAAACAAGGCAGGGGGAAGGAAUUUGAACAGAGCCAUAACGAGAAAACUUCAAAUUCAUCAAACACACCGUUUCACUUAUAAUUAGUAAUGUGUCAAUAGACACGUGUAAGAAAACUGUAAAUCCUACUAUUCCGGACGAACACCCUGCAUGCAUAUAAUGCACUGCAAUCGAAUGGAAUAGGCAGAGAAGAAAAAUACACCUUGUGUGUGUGUGUGUGUGAAGAGAGAAAUUCAGGUGAAUUUGCUCUCAUCCUAUCCAAGUCCAAUUUCAAUUCAGUUUCAGUCAUUGUCACUAGUUUUUCAAUCACCAAGUAUACCUUGUAGUAUUCCUUGGCUCCUAAAGUUUUUCUGUAAUAGUGACAGUAUUCUCUUGAAUAAAGAUUCAGUAUUCUUCAUUCUGUUGAAUCGACACAAUCCAUCAUUCUGUUGAUUCUUGUUUCAUAGUUUCAGAGAAGAUGCCCAUGACUCAAGGGUUGAUUUUUAUUUUUAUUUUUAAAAAACUAAAACUACACUGUUUUAACAAAAAAAUUCAAUAAAAAACCAAUGAGUUAAUGACUAGAUCUUGAUCGAGUUAGGUUAAGUCGACUAAAUCAUAUGAACAAUCUAAGUUUUUAACGUUAUUAGAUAAGUUAAUACGUUAAUUAUUGCUUGAUUUGUGUGAUUGAGCUGUAAGAAAUAAAUAAUGUUUAGAUUCAUCAUUCUUUUGGUUUUUGUUUCAUAGUUUCAGAGAAAUACCCGUGACUCAAGAGUUGAUUUUUAUUUUUAUUUUUAAAAAACCAAAACUACAUUAUUUUAAUAAAAAAUUUCAAUGAAAAAACCAGCGAGUUAAUGACUAGAUCUUGAUCAAGUUAGGUUCACAUCGACUAAAUCACAGGAACAAUCUAACUUUUUAACCUGAUUAGCUAAGUUUUUUACCCAACUUAGUCAAGAUAUAUCACUAAUAGAAAGAAUUGUGUAGUCAUGUAUGACAAAAUAUUGAAUUGUGAGGCCCUCGGUAUUAUUUAUGUUUUGUUGUGUAGGAGAUGAGCACGAACAGAGCCAAUACUUAUUAACCUCACUUGAGCAUACCCCACUGGAAGGUUAGUGAGGUUAAUAAAUUUCUACUCCCAAUCUGAGGUCAUUCCUCGCCUCAUUUGGUAGAACAUCCUGGUGAGAUAGUGAUUGAAUCUAGAUUAUAAUUAUUUUGUCUAGUAUUUAAAUAUUCAUAUUUUUUUAAGCUUUGUCGUCUAACCACAGACAGGUGAAAAUCAUUUCACUUAAAUUAUCUUUUCUCACCUUAAUUUCAAAAGUUGCAAUUUUUUUUCUUUUGACUUUUUCCAUUGAUGUAAAGUUAAGGCUGCCCAAUUUGGCUGCAUUAUACAUUUUAAACAAUUGCAAAGAUAUUAAACAUUAACACCCAGUAGACGCCCGUCAUAACAGCCUUCCCUAGGAUUAAUAUCAAUAAAUCUACCGCUACAUAUCAAUCACUGUCACCUUUAACCCAAUAAUGCCGUUCAAAUGAUUUUUGUGAAGAAUUAUUUAUUUUAAUUUAAAAUUAUUAUUUUUAUAUUUUGAAAAUAUAUUAAUGUGCUGAUAUUAAAAAUAAAUUUUAAAAAUAAAAAAAAAUCAUUUUAAUACAUUUCUGAAUAAAAAAUAAUUACAACUACAUUUCAAUCCAGGGGCAUGAAAAGAAAAGAAAGAGAGGAAAGCAGUUAAUUACCGGAAGUGAAACUUCAUCUCCUACCAUUUAAUAUAUGUUCAAUAUACGAUAUACUAGAUCAUAUAUAUUAUAUAUAUACAAAUAUGGCUUUAACCUCUUAUAUGAAAGUUUAUUAAAUAGACCAUAAUAAGAAUAUCAUAAAAUAAGGCUCGUCAGAAAAUUAAAAUGCAAUAAGCAUGACACUCCGUACUAUAGAAUGAUCAGUCGCCACGGGUUGGUAACUCCUAUGACCAACUAGGGUUUAUAUAUGAUGUACACAAAGACUUAAAUUAUCCUAUUAACAUGAGUAUUCUGACUAGCAUACCAUAGAUUCAUAUCAUAAUCAAACAAUCAGAUUCAUAUCUCAAGACUCAACUCAUGACAUCAAUCAAAUAAAAAGCUAUCAAUUCAGAAAUAUAUAAUGGUUUGUAUCAAAUAUUCAUUUUCAAUAAGUGAUCAUGUUUAAUUAUAAACAAUGAAUAAAUAAUAAUUAUCAAGAAACAUGAUCGAUUUCAUACUAACAAUUCAAGUAUUUAUAUUAAUUAUUUAGCAUAUGGAAAAUUAUUCACUCAUCUGACUCAAAAGUAGAAAUAACACGGAAGCAAAUACCGGAGACAAUCCUACUGAUGUCUCAUAGGUAGAAUAUCAAGAUUAUAUGAAUACAAAAGGAGACACACUAAAAAAACAGCUAAAAAAAAUAUACAAAUCUAUUUAAUAUAUUUAACUAAAGGUUUAACUCAUAACCAAAUAUGUUUAUGGAAGAUGGAAUAGGACUCAAGUACCCAAAACCGAGCCCUUGCAGGUCCUAUAUAAACCUCAUUAAGCCAUGCUUAAGCAUCUCUCCACCUUGUAAGUUGUAUGAUGAUGAAAUUUCACAAUAAACUCCUGUAGCUGAUGAAAUCCAUCCUAGUAUAUACCAAUACUAAUGUUGUCCUAAAAUUCAAGAUUGGUAAAUAAAAGAUUAUUUAAUGUUUAAAACAGUGGUUAAUUAAUAUAUUAAGUGUUUGAAUUUCUUUUUCUUAACAUAAGGAACUCCAAACUUAUGAUAGAAGCUUGAGUAUCAGAGGGGAUUUAAAGACCCUCCAAUGAUAAAGUUGAUAUAUUUAUGGGAAAUGUAUUAAAUGACUUAAAAGAGCUUUAAAAUCAAGGAAAAAACAUGUUUGUUCUUAAAUUUUAAGUUGGUUAAUGCUCUGAAAUUUAUAUAUUUUUAUCUUAAAAGAUAAAAAAUUCUAACUUUUUACUUAGAUGGUUCAUGAGGUAUUUAUACCUCCUGAACCUUGUUGUUUUUAGAGAAAAAAAUGAUUGGAAAGCCUUUUAUUUUCAGCGACAUUAAUAGUAGAGAAAUAUUUUUUACAUAUAAUUAAUGAGAUAAUUAGUAUGAUAUAUUUAUUAAAAGACGUUGUGUACACCUAUGAGCAUAGUUAUGACAGUUUAUCAUGUUUUUUUUAUAUUUUUAUUGUAGAGGAUCGUCCAUGACCAUACAUAUAGCUUUAAAACUUGGACAUUAACAAAUUUUUUAGGUUUGACAUGUUUGCCUGAAUUAUAUUACCUUGAACUUAGCUAAUUUACACGUAUAAAUCUUUUGAAUUUGGCAUAUUCUUCAAACGUUUUAUCUAACUUGAUUUUUUUAUAAGAAUUUUAACUAAAAACUGAACUCAUCAGAUAUUAGAUAUUAGAUAGUAUAACCUUCUCUGACUCUUGAGUAUAUAAAUCUUGAUGUUUGGGAUACAUUGGGCCCAUAAAAUCAUCACUAAAUUAGAAAUCAGAGGGUUAUGAUCUAAUAAUGGAUUCCAUGGCCUCCUACCCUGGUAAAACCCGAUUCAAUAUUUUGAGUGGGAGAUCUUUUCUUUGAAUAUGAUAGAAUCACCCACAAGAACUUAUUUAAAACAGGAAUCAACAAAAUCUCUUUAUAAUUGUGCAGCCGAUAUAAAUAUAUAAGAACAAUCGAGGACAAUGUUAUCAUGGAGCAUCUUGUUAAACCUGGUCUCUUCGGUAAAUUGACAUGGGAAAUCCAUGAUUUGAAGUCUAAAUUGGAAAAAUCAUUGAUUUAAUCAUUGUUUUGGGUGCAAUAUUCCUUCCUCGCUAAUUUUGGACAUGGAAUGAGAAGAAUUUUUUGUGUGAAAACACUGCAAAGGAGCUCUGAUUAUAAGAAUGAGACACAUAAAUGAGGAGGGCCUCCUCUUCGUUUUGAAACUGCUUGUGGAACAAAGAGUGACGCCUGAUCUUUCCGUUUAAAUGCAAAUGUCUUCCAUUACUACAUCAAGAACACGUCACAAAGAAAAAUAAUAAAAAAUGAAGAACAUGCUUAGGCUUUGGUUCCAUUAGGUGAUCAAGUUACGACUUACGAGGGCAUUCCAGAUUCCAACACUGGCUCCAAAGGAGAUGCCUGGGAGAACUGAAUCAAUGUCAGAACGUCUCCAAUCAAUUAAAUGCAGACACCCAAGUAAAGAAUUAAAAAAAAACAAUUCAAGUUAACGGGCCCUAAAACUCUGUUUAUUAAUUAAUAUAUAUCAUAAUUUUAUAUAUUAAUUAUAAAAUUAUGACAUCUCAAUUUAGUUUGAAUUUGAGUUAAUCUCCUUUUCCCUUUGUUCUGCUUCACCCUUAGUUUGAAUUUGACAUCUCAAUUUUCAAUUCCAAUGCCAUUAGCUAAUGCAAAAUGGCAAGGGCCAUUACACUGACAGAAAAUACACGCAAAGGCCAAUUUGUUUUAGCUGUCUCUUUCCAUUAUUUGGGUUCUAGUGGCCGGCCAACUGUGUAAAGUUUACCUUUGCAAUCAAAAUUUCUGUAUAUAGAAUGUGUAUGUUUUAGAGGUGAAGGUUGCGGUGGUUUGAGUGUGUAACCACCAAAAAACUUAAAACAAAUUAGUUUUUAUAAUUGAGUUUUAUGUAUAAUUAGAUUGUAUUCCAUCACAACCUCAACAAAAAAAAAAAAAAACUAAAAUAAACACCAAUUAUUGUGAUAUUUGUAAAGUUCCUCUAGGAUUCAAGACAAUUGACUUCAAGAUUUCAUAGUGGGAAGUGUAAUCGAAUCAGUCUGAAUCUCUAUAUCCUGUCCAUCAUAGCUUAUAUCUGCAAUUCUUCAUACUAAUUACUGCUGUCUUAUCGUGAAUUUUAUUAACAUCCAUCCUUCCAACGCAGAAGCCUGCACCAAGGAAGAUGGAGGUAUCUCACUGGUUCAACUUUGCAGCACUAUUCUUCUUCUUUGUGCUUGCAUCAAAGCUUGUUAUAUACAAACUUGGAAAUCCCAAAAACCUCCCACCUAGUCCACCUUCCCGUCCUAUCAUAGGGCAUCUCCAUUUAUUAAAGCAACCAAUUCAUAGAACUCUGUGCGAGCUUUCUAAGAAGUAUGGUGACAUACUGUUUCUCCGAUUUGGGGCUCGUAAAGUCCUUGUAAUCUCUUCACCAUCAGCCGUUGAAGAGUGCUUUACUAGAAAAGAUGUAAUAUUUGCUAACCGCCCUCGUACACUAGCUGGAAAACAUCUCAAUUACAACUCGACAACCAUGGGUUUCUCUUCUUAUGGUGAGCAUUGGCGCAACCUCAGGCGCUUAACAACCAUUGAGCUCUUCUCUGCAAGUCGUGUUGCCUCGUUCUCUGAUAUUAGAAAAGAGGAAGUUCAGCUAUUGCUAAACCAAUUGUUUCGGGAUUCCAGCAAACAACAGGCUAAGGUGGGGCUUACAGCAAGUUUUAUGGAGCUUACAUUCAAUGUUAUGAUGAGAAUGAUUGCAGGAAAACGUUAUUAUGGAAAAGAAGUGGUGGAUGAAGAAGCGGGACAGUUUCAGAAUAUUAUAAAAGAAAUGGAGGCGCUGCGAGGGAGUUCUAAUAUGAAUGAUUUCUUUCCAGUACUGCAAUGGAUAGAUUUCCAAGGUUUGGAGAAGAGAAUGAUGGGGUUGAAGAAGAAGAUGGACAAAUUCUUGCAGGAUCUCAUCGAGGAGCACCAGAAAGUGAGGAGUCAGUCAUCUCAGUCCACCAAGAUAACCGGUUUGGGCAACCAAAAGAGAAACAUGACACUUAUUGAUGUUAUGUUAUCGUUGAAAGAGACAGAACCUGAAUUCUAUACUGAUCAAACCAUAAAAGGUGUAAUCAUGGUAAGAAAAUCUCUAGAACUUAUGAUCCCAAUUUCAACAAAUUGACCAGAGACAACUGUUGGGGAUCACAAGUGAUCAUUCCGUUAGGUGAUGGGCAAUAGGCUCUUUACUGUUGAUAAAUUUCUACUAAUAUUCCUGUUUAUCUGAUAUCUUCAUUCUGAAGACAUAUUGGUAACACAUCUGAGCAUGUGCAGUCAACACUAACCGCAGGAAGCCAAACUUCAGCAGCUACCUUAGAGUGGGCAAUGUCGCUUCUCCUUAACAACCCGGAAACAAUGCGAAAGGCUUCUGAAGAGGUAGAUGCUAUCGUUGGAACAGAGCACAUAUUGGAUGAAGUAGAUGUAACAAAGCUCAGUUACCUCCAAAACAUAAUUAACGAGACAUUUAGGCUCUUUCCACCUGCGCCGCUUCUUUUACCACAUGAAUCUUCCGAGGACUGCACUAUUAGUGGAUUUCAUGUGCCCCGAGGCACAAUGUUACUGGUCAAUACUUGGAGCAUUCAUAG
Molecule: long non-coding RNA, 12824 nt
Filed under: Populus trichocarpa (black cottonwood)
Lineage: Eukaryota; Viridiplantae; Streptophyta; Magnoliopsida; Malpighiales; Salicaceae
Description: long non-coding RNA (PTRI_LNC003197)
Source: RNAcentral